Purpureocillium lavendulum is the source of this 98-nucleotide non-coding RNA. The record is from the annotation of a GenBank genome assembly. Lineage: Eukaryota; Fungi; Ascomycota; Sordariomycetes; Hypocreales; Ophiocordycipitaceae.
GGGCGGAUGGUUUAGUGGUAUAAUUCUCCCUUAGCAUGAUCAGUCCGACUGACGGCAACGAUUGGGAGAGGUCCGGGGUUCGAUUCCCCGUUCGUCCA